AAACGUUCCAAAAUAGGAAUUUUUUAUAUUCCAUAAUCUAUUUAUAAUAUAUAAUGUGUGUCUGUGUAUUCAAGUGUUUUGACACCAACAAAGAAGCUUCGUAUUAUUCAGCAUUUAUAAGUGCAGUGGCUUCUGUCCAUUACCAUGAUUUUGGAUAUGGCAACGUCUAAUAACCUUUCCGUUCUGAAAAUAUAUUUUGGCCAAAAACAUUACACGUGGUAUUUUAUUAUUAACAUUACUGAAUGGACUGCAUUGUUAAUGUUCAGCAUUCUGCUGUACGUUGCACUUGAACUUAUAUUUUCAGGACAACCACAUACUUAUGAUCCCUUGGAUGAUAUGGAUUUGGAUUAUAAUGAUUAAAACUGCAGCUGCAACAACUAUUGCAAUGGCACUCGCAUCUUUAUUACCAGUUUUUAUUAUAAUGCUUUUAAGUCUGUCAACUUUCAUAUUCUGCUGUACAGGGAUAUACUUUUUCACUUGCGUCUACAAUCAUUAUACAAUUCUUAAAAUGCGGAAAGUUCUUGUUACACCUGAACAAAAAUCAAAUAUUAUUCGUGUCGCUAAACCUGAAGAAGAUUUGGAUCUUUCCGACAACAUCCAAAUUCCCGACAAAUUAACAUCAAUUACAAACGAUGUUCCUCCUGAAGAAGAACCUGAUAUUCCUGUAGUUCGUUUUACUGAAGAAGUGUAUUAGAAAACCAAUUUUGUAUUAUAUAGUGAGCAACAUAUUGUAAUAAUUAUAAAUUAAAUGUUUUCCUUCAAAA
Molecule: unclassified non-coding RNA, 764 nt
Filed under: Centruroides sculpturatus (bark scorpion)
Lineage: Eukaryota; Metazoa; Arthropoda; Arachnida; Scorpiones; Buthidae
Description: uncharacterized LOC111618690, transcript variant X4
Source: RNAcentral